RNAcentral lists this ribosomal RNA (499 nucleotides) under uncultured Glomeromycotina. Its description in RNAcentral is "partial small subunit ribosomal RNA". It matches the Rfam family "Eukaryotic small subunit ribosomal RNA", at positions 591 to 1092 of the family's 1831-position model. Lineage: Eukaryota; Fungi; Glomeromycota. The record is from RNAcentral.
CCAAUAGCGUAUAUUAAAGUUGUUGCAGUUAAAAAGCUCGUAGUUGAAUUUCGAGAUCAAUAUGUCGGUCGUGCUUAGGUACGUACUGGCAUUAUUGAUUUCUCCUUUCUGAUGAACCAUGAUGCCAUUAAUUUGGUGUUAUGGGGAAUCAGGACUGUUACCUUGAAAAAAUUAGAGUGUUUAAAGCAGGCUCACGUUUGAAUACAUUAGCAUGGAAUAAUGAAAUGGGACGUUUGAUUCUAUUUUGUUGGUUUCUAGGAUCGACGUAAUGAUUAAUAGGGAUAGUUGGGGGCAUUAGUAUUCAAUUGUCAGAGGUGAAAUUCUUGGAUUUAUUGAAGACUAACUACUGCGAAAGCAUUUGCCAAGGAUGUUUUCAUUAAUCAAGAACGAAAGUUAGGGGAUCGAAGACGAUCAGAUACCGUCGUAGUCUUAACCAUAAACUAUGCCGACUAGGGAUCGGAUGAUGUUAAUUUUUUAAUGACUCAUUCGGCGCCUUACG